Molecule: ribosomal RNA, 876 nt
Filed under: uncultured crenarchaeote
Lineage: Archaea; Thermoproteati; Thermoproteota
Description: bacterial SSU rRNA
Rfam family: Archaeal small subunit ribosomal RNA
Source: RNAcentral
ACCUGACUGCUAUCGGAUUGAUACUAAGCCAUGCGAGUCAUUGUAGUAAUACAAGGCAGACGGCUCAGUAACGCGUAGUCAACCUAACCUAUGGACGGGAAUAACCUCGGGAAACUGAGAAUAAUGCCCGAUAGAACACUAUACCUGGAAUGGUUUGUGUUCCAAAUGAUUUAUCGCCAUAGGAUGGGACUGCGGCCUAUCAGUUUGUUGGUGAGGUAAUGGCCCACCAAGACUAUUACAGGUACGGGCUCUGAGAGGAGUAGCCCGGAGAUGGGUACUGAGACACGGACCCAGGCCCUAUGGGGCGCAGCAGGCGAGAAAACUUUGCAAUGUGCGAAAGCACGACAAGGUUAAUCCGAGUGAUUUCUGCUAAAGAGAUCUUUUGUUAGUCCUAGAAACACUAACGAAUAAGGGGUGGGCAAGUUCUGGUGUCAGCCGCCGCGGUAAAACCAGCACCUCAAGUGGUCAGGAUGAUUAUUGGGCCUAAAGCAUCCGUAGCCGGCUCUGUAAGUUUUCGGUUAAAUCUGUACGCUCAACGUACAGGCUGCCGGGAAUACUGCAGAACUAGGGAGUGGGAGAGGUAGACGGUACUCGGUAGGAAGUGGUAAAAUGCUUUGAUCUAUCGAUGACCACCUGUGGCGAAGGCGGUCUACCAGAACACGUCCGACGGUGAGGGAUGAAAGCUGGGGGAGCAAACCGGAUUAGAUACCCGGGUAGUCCCAGCUGUAAACGAUGCAGACUCGAUGAUGCAUUGGCAUAUAGCCAGUGCAGUGUCGCAGGGAAGCCGUUAAGUCUGCCGCCUGGGAAGUACGUACGCAAGUAUGAAACUUAAAGGAAUUGGCGGGGGAGCACCACAAGGGGUGAAGCCUGCGGUUC